Long non-coding RNA from Grammomys surdaster, 743 nucleotides. RefSeq lists it as uncharacterized. The record is from RefSeq and is a predicted model, not a curated record. NCBI's taxonomy places the organism in Eukaryota, Metazoa, Chordata, Mammalia, Rodentia, Muridae. The transcript has 2 exons.
CAGAGCUCCAUUCUAUCUUGAUCCAGCUGUUUGGAUUAGCUUACCUGUCAAUCUACAGAGAGAGACUAGAAUGACAUAGGUCUCCAUUCAAUGCUGAAAGAAUGGAUUUAAUAACACAAAGGCAGAAUUUCAGUUCCAGUCUACAGAGCCCAUUGGGACCAAAGAAAUGAGUGUCCUGGGCCAACCCUGCAUUUGGUGGCACCCUACCAGCCCAGCUCUUAGGACUUACAGCAAGAUCACGUGAGUUGUGUGCACAGGGAUGACUGUGUGGAGCUAGGGGACAUGCCACCAGCAGCAUUCCGCCAUGGCCCUGGAACAGCCAGAACACCACCCUAGACUAAACAGAAGAUGGGAAAACACUGCUUCCAAAGAACUGCUAUUUUUACAUCCUCUUUUCCAGAAUUACAAUGUUCCAAGAUAUGAAUUCAAAUCAGAAGGCAUGGUCAAAAGAGAGCAGAGGGCCAGGAAGAUACCCACAACUGAGAAGGAUUCACUCCCUCCUCCCGUUGCCAUGGCAUUCUUUCACCUGGGUACCACAGCUUAAAUAAUACAGAUUCUCGGUUCCCCAUCCUUGACUGACAAUCAUUCCAGAUGAAGGGGUGACCUAGGACUAUGUGUUUCCCGUCAAAAGUCCCUAUGAUUCUCUGCACCACUGCUCAGAGGCAGGGACCCAGAGAGAGACUCAGAUGCUUGAAUGCAAAACAAUCCACAGCAUCAUAAAAAACACUUUAAGUUUUAUUGUA